GGGGUGGGGAUGGGAGGGCGUUUUUUGUAAAUUCGGAGAUUGUGUUUAAGGAUGGCUGGAUCAGUGGAUUGAUGAAGUUUUUGUUCUUGAACUUCUUUCAUACUUUGGAAUUCAAUAAACAUUCCAGUAGAAAACCCCUGUAUGGUUCUCCAAUGAGUUAUGGGUUCAGUGGAACCUGAGCAUCGUUGGUGGUUCUUGCUUCUGCUUUGUCUCUUUUUCUAGAGUGGGACGCCAAAUUUGGCUUUUAGUUCUAUACAUACAGAUUUACCAAAUGCCUUUUUGUAUUUUUGACGUAGUUGCUCUGUAGGGUGGAACUUAUUUCUGCCUUUCAUAUAAUCAGACUCUGGUUAAAUUUGACUGUUUAAUUUAUAGUAACAGCAAAUAUCCUUAAAAGUAUCUUCCAUAAGCUGCUCAGCUUGCAUUAUUAUGGUUGCUUUCAACCUGGUGAUCAAUCCGGUUUGAGCUGGCUCUAGGUGAAACCAACUGUUCAGAGUUGAGAAAGGGAAUGAAUCAAAACCGGAUUGGCCUUUGAGCAGUUUGUUUCAAUCCACAUCAUGCCUUCCUUCGCCUGCCCUGUCACUUUUUUUUUUUCAAUUUUUAUAUGGUUCUAGCAAGGUUGAACCACACAGAUUCAGUCCAUGGAUAGGAGGGGAUUGAAACUGAUCCCCUCUGUAAGGUUUAAGGUCAGUUUGGGUCCAUGUGCCUAUGACUACGCAUGUUUCAGAUUUGAUCAUUUCUGAGCCUGUUUGGCCUGUGGCCAAUAUGUGGAUGAGUGUACAAACUCUUAUUGUUCUGCUAACUGGAACUUUGGAAGUAAAACAUCCUAAAAAAAA
RNAcentral lists this unclassified non-coding RNA (833 nucleotides) under Hevea brasiliensis (rubber tree). The record is from RNAcentral. Lineage: Eukaryota; Viridiplantae; Streptophyta; Magnoliopsida; Malpighiales; Euphorbiaceae.